RNAcentral lists this long non-coding RNA (221 nucleotides) under Capsicum annuum. RNAcentral's name for it is "long non-coding RNA (CANN_LNC014096)". The record is from RNAcentral. Lineage: Eukaryota; Viridiplantae; Streptophyta; Magnoliopsida; Solanales; Solanaceae.
CAUGUACCGAAGAACACAUAAUUGGGGAACUUCAUGCUAUCAUGUUACAAUUCAUUCAUCAAACAGUUAGCAUAAAUUAAAGUCUUAGUAUGUAUCAAAGAGCACAUAAUUGAGAAAUUUCAUGCUAUCAGGCCACAAUUCAUUCACUAAGGCUUUUCAACAAACAAUUAGCAUGCAUAGGUUUACAUACAAUUAGGGAUUUCUAAUCAACAUUCUAGAAU